Long non-coding RNA from Accipiter nisus (Eurasian sparrowhawk), 2896 nucleotides. The record is from Ensembl. NCBI's taxonomy places the organism in Eukaryota, Metazoa, Chordata, Aves, Accipitriformes, Accipitridae.
GCCGCUGUGUGGCGGAACCGGCCCCUCCCCUCCGCGGGCGGCGCCAUUUUACCCCCCCUCUCGCAGCGUGUGCGCCUCGGCUGCUGUGGCGGCUGAGGGGAGGGGGGGGCGAGCGGAGAGAGAGAGAGAGAGAGGCCGUCACCGCCGCUGCCGCCGCCGCUUUUCGCCCCCCUCCCUCGUUUCUUGCCUCGGCCCGGGCAGCGUGUGGAGGGGAAGGGACGAGGUUCAGUUCCUGCCCCUCGCUUUCCCCUUUGAUGAGCAGCACUGUUGCUAGCCCGAUGUCAACAGUUGCCUCUUCAAGCAGUGGAAGGAAAUCAACAAGCUUUACACCUGAAUUGCAAAGUAUGAUAUCCACCUUCAUUGUCAUGUAACAAUUCCUGAUGUGAACUGCUGUAUAUGCAGUAGAUGUGAAAGGAAUUGCUUGCCUCUGUUAAAUUCUACAGAGUUCCCUGUCCAAAAGUAGAAGAUACAGUUUGUUUUCAGUGAAAUGUCCUCAAGAGACUACUAGGUUGUUGUGAAGUGGAGCAUGGGAUACAUUCCACUGGAGUAUUUUUCAGUAUAACGUGAAUGAGAUAAUGAACUGUUUCCUGUGCACUGACUCUUCUGAAGUAGACGAGUACUUUGUUACAAACCCAGUGGUUUGGUCUAUUGAGUUCAGAUAGAAAAAUAUUAGUUCUCUCCUUCAAGAGAAUUCUGUUCAGUUAUUGUUCACAUCUAUUAUAGUCAUCUACACUGGAAAAUAUGAGUUGUUUUUGGUGGAGAAAAUAACUGUAACUGUGUUUCAAAAACAAAAGAGCAGCUGUGAAGUUUGGAGUCAAAGAAGCCUGUGCAUCAAUUUGGAUUAGUAUCUGAGGAGCCUGCAUUUUAUUUAAUUGUGGACUUCCUGAUAAAGUAUUUUGAAACUACCCUCCCCGCCAGUAUACACAUGAUUCUGUCAGAAUGUAGAAGUUAUUGUUGGCCAUAUAAAUGGAAGAAAUAGACAUUUUCCUUUUGCUUCAGAACCAGUGCAGUUACACUUUGAGAGCUAUGCAAACAGAUCUUCUGUGCUUUAGAGUAACAGUUUUCACAGUUUCAUAAAAGUAGUAGGAACUGAAGAAAUUCCUUGAAUGUAAUGAGCACAUUGAAAGAUAUAUUUUUAUUGUCUGCUGGGGAAAAAAGGAGACUUUUGAAAUGAUAAAGUGCCAGGGAUGAACCAUGUGGAGAAAAAAUGACAGCUGUUUCUUUUGGCCAGGACCACAAAAUGAAGUUACCCCUUUAAAAGAACUUUCCAGGCUCUGACAGAAGCUGACAUUUUUUAUAAACUACAUAAUUUAGAAAGUUACAGAUUCUUCUGUUUAGGCAAUUUGUAACAAAUCCAUGCUGACAUCUUAAGAUCCUGGGAAAUAGUAAAGGCUGGAGCAUUACAGUGCAGAAGAGGUAACAACUUUCUUAAAAGAAAAUGGGGUCUCUCUUCAUAGUUUGUUAUUGUGAAGUUGAGUAGGAUCACCUAUUUCCUAUGGAUUGUCAUCCAUAUGGAGUAAUAGGAAGAGUAACUUGUUUUGCCUUUCCUAACAAAAAAAUGGGUGCCCCAAGAAGAUGAGCUUGUGAAAAUUAAGUCAUAUAGGGACAUUGGGUGCUAAUCCAGAAUGGUGUUUGGUAGUUUGUGCUGAUGUUAAAAAAUGGGCUGUUGGAUUUUGGGGACUUAAAAGGCAGAAGGAAUGCAGAGAAACUGUCUUUUUGAAGUAGAAUAUCAAAUCCUGUUAUAACCCAGUAGUGAGAUCUGGAAGUCUGUGGAUAGCAGUGCCUCACAGUCUGAAGGUGGUAUCUUUGAUUAGUUUAUAAUUUACAGCACUGAAGUGUUGAGUCAGGGUUUGACUCCCUGGAAUGCUUAAAUUUAUAUGUAACAUUAAGCUUGUGAGUAAUCCCAUUUAAGGUGAGGAGGUUAUUCAUAUGCUACAUCUGUUACAUAUGCUAUACCUAUUUUUUAACCACAGCAUUAGGGAAUGAGCUGAAUCCUUUUGUAGAAUUGUGUUGUUACGAUAAGGUCACAAAUAUUUUUCUGAUUUAUUUGAGAAGGCAGGAAACGUAUAGGAGUCUUGAAAUCGUAAAAUACUGCAGAAAAGCUGUCUUGAAAUGUGUAAAGGUUUUUCAUGGUAUACAUACAUAUGUUUUUUAACUAAUAAAAUGAUUCUGUUUUUCCAUUAAAAAUAUUUAAAAUAUUUACUUGGAUUUGAAGAAAUUUUUGUGUUUUGUCAGAAAAAAAUCUGCAUGCUGUCUAAUGCCUGUGUAAAUAAUAUUAAGUAAAACUGGUGAUAGUACUUAAUAUAUUGAUUACCUUGAGAAGAAUACAGAGUUAAAUAAAAGUAUUAGACUGUCACAGAUCACCCGAACACAUGUCAAUUUACAGUGCACUACCUUUUACAUGUAUAUGUUUGGCUUUUAAUUGUUAUGACCUUGGGAUUAUUUGAUAUUUAUCUUAUCAUUUAAAAGAGCAUAAUGCUAUGUAGAUCUUGCUUUGACUCCCACAUCCCUUAUUUGUAUUUGGAUAUUUUAUUAUGUUACCAUAGGAUUUACAGCAGUGGGUGUUAAUAAUUUAAAAAAGUUUUCAGCAUGUCUAGUGCAUUUUGCUGAGGUUUGUUUUACAUAGCUUCACUUGGCUAAUCUACAACCUGUUUCCAAACUUAACUGCUAACAUUAGGUCAGUUGCACUUAAAUUAUGGUUCUGCCCAUUCACAACUGUGAUGAUUUCACAGUAGCCAUUAAAAUUCAUAAUUUGGUUGAGAUAAUCUAUUUUUUAAUAUAAGCAGUAGUUGCAGAGUGAAUUUCUGGAAACUGUCACAUUCUAAACACUUAUGUUAAACAAUUUGCACAUGAAGAGGUAUUUCCCCCCCCCCCCCAGUAAAAUAUCUUUAUUUUU